AAGUCGUAACAAGGUAACCGUAGGUGAACCUGCGGUUGGAUCAUUAAAACAUGCAUUUUAUUGCAGUCUUGAACCGAAAAAAAGGUGCUCGGCUUUUCGAAGUCGUGGUCCUUUGAAGUAGGGGAAAAGAUCCCACACCACUGUGAACCACUGAAAUGUCCCUUGGCGGAUUUAGCGAAGGCACCUGUUGACAAAGCGGGUCUGGAGCUUGCCGCCAGAAACUUGAACACACCCUGCAGUAUUUAAUCAAAAAUGUUAAAAAAAUCCCGGUUGCGCUUAACGGCCAAUCGUUGAAAAAUAAUAAACAAAAACAACUUCAGACAACGGAUCUCUUGGCUCUC
RNAcentral lists this unclassified non-coding RNA (341 nucleotides) under fungal sp. Its description in RNAcentral is "partial internal transcribed spacer region". The stretch from base 1 to 46 matches the Rfam family "Eukaryotic small subunit ribosomal RNA", at positions 1786 to 1831 of the family's 1831-position model. The record is from RNAcentral. Lineage: Eukaryota; Fungi.